GAUGAACGCUGGCGGCGUGCCUAAUACAUGCAAGUCGAGCGAACAGAUGAGGAGCUUGCUCCUCUGACGUUAGCGGCGGACGGGUGAGUAACACGUGGAUAACCUACCUAUAAGACUGGGAUAACUUCGGGAAACCGGAGCUAAUACCGGAUAAUAUAUUGAACCGCAUGGUUCAAUAGUGAAAGACGGUUUUGCUGUCACUUAUAGAUGGAUCCGCGCUGCAUUAGCUAGUUGGUAAGGUAACGGCUUACCAAGGCAACGAUGCGUAGCCGACCUGAGAGGGUGAUCGGCCACACUGGAACUGAGACACGGUCCAGACUCCUACGGGAGGCAGCAGUAGGGAAUCUUCCGCAAUGGGCGAAAGCCUGACGGAGCAACGCCGCGUGAGUGAUGAAGGUCUUCGGAUCGUAAAACUCUGUUAUUAGGGAAGAACAAAUGUGUAAGUAACUGUGCACAUCUUGACGGUACCUAAUCAGAAAGCCACGGCUAACUACGUG
Molecule: ribosomal RNA, 497 nt
Filed under: uncultured bacterium
Lineage: Bacteria
Description: partial 16S ribosomal RNA
Rfam family: Bacterial small subunit ribosomal RNA
Source: RNAcentral